GGUCUAUUAGCUCAAUUGGUUAGAGUGUGGUACUAAUAAUGCCAAGGUCACAGGUUCAACCCCUGUAUGGACCA
Molecule: transfer RNA, 74 nt
Filed under: Sphaerobolus stellatus SS14
Lineage: Eukaryota; Fungi; Basidiomycota; Agaricomycetes; Geastrales; Sphaerobolaceae
Description: tRNA-Ile (AAT) (tRNA-Ile-AAT-5-1)
Rfam family: tRNA
About the family: Transfer RNA (tRNA) molecules are approximately 80 nucleotides in length. Their secondary structure includes four short double-helical elements and three loops (D, anti-codon, and T loops).
Source: Rfam by way of RNAcentral